GCAACCUCAGGUAAGGCAUGAUUACCUGCUGAGUUUAAGCAUAUAAAUAAGCGGAGGAGAAGAAUUUUACAAGAAUUCCCUUAGUAACGACGAGCAAACCAUGAAAUGCCCAGCUUGAGAACCGGUAACCUACGGAAUCUGAAUUAUUUUCUGGAGAAGUAUCCUCAGUGGCACACAAAGCUCAAGUCCCCUGGAAGUGGGUGCUAGAGAGUGUGAGAGCCUCAUUGCUCUUGGACCCUAUCGCACUUUGAGGGGCUGUCUACAAGUUAGGUUGUUUUGGAGUGCAACCCGAAUUGGGUGUUAAAUUCUGUCCAAGGGUAAAUAUUGGCAAGAGACCGAUAGCCAACAAGUACAAAGAGGGAAUGAUCAAAAGGACUUGGAGAAAAGAGUAAUUGAAAUUGUCAAGAGGGAAGAAGAUUGGAGCCAGUGGUGCAGCCUGGUCAGAUGUGAAACAGUGAUCAGCCUGUGGAAACGUCAUCUCCCUGAUCGUGGUUGGUUGCCCAUCUUGAAACACAGACAAAGGAGUCUUACAUUCGUGCAGUCAAUGGCCUAAAAAACUUGUUAGUCGCUAGAAAACUGACUGGCAAGAUCUCCUUAAGGGUUGCAUUGCCAAUUUACCUAGAUCUUCUGAGAAGGGUUCGAGUGUGAGCAUGCUUGUCAGGACCCAAAAGAUGGUGAACUAUGCCUGAUCGUGGCAAAUUCAGAAGAAACUCUGGUGGAGGCCCACAGUUAUACUGACAUGUAAAUUGUUCAUCUCACUUGGGUAUAGGGGCAAAAGACUAAUCAAACCGUCUAGUAGCUGGUUCCCUCCAAAGUUUUCGUUAAAAUACCGGGAGCCCAUAGGCAAGUUCUAUUGGGUACAACUAAUGAUUAGAGCCAUCCGGGACACAACUGUCUCAUCCGUAUCUCAAAAUAUAAAUUGAUUGGAAGUCGCGGCUGCUUUGUUUAGUCGUGCCACGGAAUCAAGAGUUCCAAGUGGGGCAUUUUUGGUAAGCAAAACUGGCGAUGUUGAAUGAAUGGAAUGCCAGGUUAUGAUGCCGAACUGCGUGCUAAACUUGAACCCACAAAGGGUUUUGGUCAAUAAAGACAGCAGGACAGUGGUCAUGGAAGUUGAAAUCCGCUAAGGAAUGUGUAACAACUCACCUGCCGAAUUAACUAGCCCUAAAAAUGGAUGGUGCUGAAGCAAACGACUUAUACCCGACAGUCAAGGCAAGUACCAAGCCCUAAUAAGUAGUAUGGCGCGGUGGUAGCUGCAAAACCUUGUGCGUGAGCCUGGGCGGAGCAGCCAUCGAUGCAGAAUCUUAGUGAUAGUAGCAAAUAUUUAAAUGAGAACUUUGAAGGCCGAAGAGGGGAAAGGUUACAUGUAAACAACACUUGCACAUGGGUUAAUCAAUCCUAAGAGACGAGGCAAUCCUUUUUAAAAGCGCCCAACAUGCGAGAAACAAAGAGAACCGGGUUUAAAUUCUUGAACCGGGACGUGGCCACCGACAACAAUGUUAGGGGGUCUAGAGCGUCAUCGGAGAGCUCAGCAAGAGUUAUCUUUUCUGUUUAACAACAUGCCCACCAUUAAAACGGCUCAGUCGAAGGUAGGGUCUAGGGGCUUAAAGAGCACCACAAAUAGCGUGGUGUCUAGUACAUCCUCGAUGGCCGUUUAAAAUUUUGAGGACCGAGUGGAUCCCACGCUCGAUCAUAGUCUCAAUCGAAUCAGGUCUCCAACGUUAACACCCUCUAGUCGACAGAACAAUGUAGGUAAUGGAGGUUAGCAAAAUGGAUCUGUAACCUCAGGAAGAAGGAUUUACUCUAAGGGCUAGGCAUGGAGGUCAUCACAUGGCGGCUGGGGGAUGGAUUGAGAACGGAUCUGUUGGGGGCCUUUCCCAUGCAUCAAACAGUCCACCCAUAAUGGAUACGAACAAGGGGAAUACGACUUCUUAAUUAAAAAAAAAAGGCAUUGCGAUGGUCCUUGUGGAUGCUUACACACUGUAACUAUGACUCUCUUAAUGUAGCAAAAUGCCUCAGCAUCUCAUUAGUGACGCGCAAGAAUGGAUUAACGAGAUUCCUGAUGUCCAUAUCUAUUAUUCAGCAAAACCACAGCCAAGGGAAUGGGCUUGGAAGAAUUAGAAGGGAACAAAGACUUGACACGGAAUAGAAGGGGUUUAGAUUUAGGAAGUGGGAGAAUCGAGUUAGGUUAAAUGGAAAAAUGAUAAUCCGAUAAUUCCAGAAUCGGGACUGGAAUUGGGCCAUCGAUAACUCGACGAUGAGAUUAAGUUUAUGGCUGACAUUUUGAGUGGAACUCUGGGAAGAAGCUAGGUAAUAUUCCUCCAAAAUUGAAGGAAAUCACGUGGAUGGAUCGGUCGGAAGGCAAUGGAACAGUAACGGUGGUCAGCGGUGGCCGAAAAUUGAUAACCGGUGGAAGAAAUGAAAUAUCAAAUGAAAACAAUGAUGGAAGAAGGAUCUUAUGGACUUCAAGCUCACCCUAUGACCUUGAGAAAGGCUGGAGACUUUGAAGCAAGAAGAGAACCCCAGCUCGGAGGAGGAAUCUCUUGAAGAACCCACGGUGGCCGGAGGAAGUCUUCCUCCGGCCACCGGCUGAAAUUGGAAGAUGCCCGAGAAGGGAGAGCUAAAAAGCUUCUUUAAUUCAAAUUCCAAAUUGUCCUUACAAUCACGAAAUGGGGGAGGUUUUAUCUGCUGAGAAGAGUGGGAAAAAGGGAGGGAAAAUUGAGGGCCAAAGGCAUGCAACUUGCAUGCUGGAAAUUGAAAUAAUGGAGGGAAAAUUUGACCAAUGAGAUUGCAAGAAUGUGAAAGCCAUGUGAUCUUGAAUCUCCUCAGCCAAUUUCCCUUCUUCCUUGGCCCAAAAUACCCUUCUCUUAGCCAAAAAUACCUCAUGAAAAACCCCAUGCACGCAUGCAAAAAUAAACAAAAUAAAACCUAGCCGAGAAACCCUCUCGGUUUCUCCAAAUAUCCAACAUAAAAUUC
RNAcentral lists this ribosomal RNA (2973 nucleotides) under Begonia fuchsioides. Its description in RNAcentral is "eukaryotic LSU rRNA". The stretch from base 2 to 2113 matches the Rfam family "Eukaryotic large subunit ribosomal RNA". Lineage: Eukaryota; Viridiplantae; Streptophyta; Magnoliopsida; Cucurbitales; Begoniaceae. The record is from RNAcentral.